RNAcentral lists this long non-coding RNA (3876 nucleotides) under Sus scrofa (pig). RNAcentral describes it as "lncRNA (ENSSSCG00000057016.1)". The record is from RNAcentral. Lineage: Eukaryota; Metazoa; Chordata; Mammalia; Artiodactyla; Suidae.
GAACUCAGGUCUUUCCCUUCUUCUAAAAUCAACACUCCUAAUGAAUUUGUCUGAGUCUAUUAUUAGACUAUCCUUAAGAUACGGUGUAAAACAGAAACAGUUUGCUUCAUGGCCAUACAAACAACUUAAAAUGGAAAGUUAGGAAAGCUUACUCUUACCAAUGCCCUACAGCUCCUGCAACACUGUGGCAUGUCCAUCAUUUUUACCACAGAUGCCUUUACAAACUCCUUUUUUUUUAUUCUGCUGCUUCUGACCACACCUGUGGCAUAUGGAGGUUCCCAGGUUAGGGUCAAAUGGGAACCAUAGCCAUUUGCACAGCCACAGCCACAGCCACAGCCAUGCAGGAUCUGAGCCCCAUUUGCAACCUAUACCACAGCUCACAGUAAUGCCAGAUCUUACCCACUGAGUGAAGCCAGGGAUUGAACCUGCAUCCUCAUGGAUACUAGUUAGAUCCAUUACCUCUGAGCCAUGAUGGGAACACUCCCCUGGGGUCUUUUAUGGCCACUCUUUCCUCUCUUCUCACUUCUGGUCUCUCCUCAUCUAAUUGAAGUUAGCUUUCCCACACAAAGCAUCUGGUACUGCUCUCUGAAGCUGGGGUACCAGUCAGUCACACCAGAGCUUAUCAAGGUGUUUUUUUUUUUUUUUUUUCCUAUAAAACACACUUCCCUUUUUUCACAGAAAUUCUGGUUGUCAGAAUAAAAAAUUAUUUCCCUUCUUUAUCUCAUUUUAAUGGCUGACAGCGGCAGUUCAGCUGGUUAAAUGACAUGUGUAAGAUCACAAGACUGCUGAGGAAGAUGAGCCAAUGCUCAAAAGCCACCUUUGUGAAUAACACAGAGAAGCCUAUUGUGAGUGCUCCAAUGAAGGGGGAAUCAGGCCAGGUGCACCCCACAGUUGACGACUGAGCUGCCCGUGAGGCCCCAUGAGUCCCCCAAGUUUUCCAGAUGAGGAGCCUGAGACUCAAAAACUGUGAGAAACUUUUUCAAGGUCAAACAAAUACUUGAUGUAUUUAUGUUUCUGGGAAAUAAAGGCAAAGAAGAAGGAAGGACAGGAUAAAUAUUUGCAAGGGAGAGUCUAUUGCAGAGAACAUUUGGUGACUGAAGGGCCCUGGGGACUCCAUUUUAGUGUGAUCAUUUGCUCUGAGAGGAAGCAGAUCCCUGUCUGCAUUUUGAUAUUUUCUAGUUUGUAAAGUGGAUGCAUUUUUCUCCUCCAGGGGCCCUGUUCUUCAGGUUUUCUUGGUAUAGGGAUGUCUGGUUAUUUUUGGCUUGUGAAUACCAGUAACACAGAGGGCAUCCUCCCCCUUGACCAGCUGUGCUCUCAUUUCCUCUAAAAGGCUGGCAGUGUGAGGACAGUUUUGGACUUGCCUGUCAGAGAAAGGAUUUUUGUCAUCAAUCUUCCUCUGCCUGUGGAGAAGGGUGGUGCGAGAAACUGCUGUCUGCAAAAAUUGCUUUUAAGGUGGGGAAAGAUUGUUUACAUGUUCCCUUUCUUAGAGACUGGCACUCACAGAGGUCUGUGAUAGGCAUGGGUUAGACUGAGAUGUGGACUAGGAAUAGCCUGUCACAGCACCUUGCAGGAACUUCAGGCAGACCUUUCUCCUGCCCCCCUAACCCCAGGCCAUACUUCUGGCCCCAGCAGUUUCUUAGCAUCCUUCUUUUCAUCUAAGCCAAGGUCAUGAGGUGAAUCUUGUUCCCCACUUUGGUACUUUCCUGGCACAGCUAAAUAUGGCACAGUCUUCAAGACUUCCAUUUCCACGCCAUACCCAGAGACCAGCUGCCAGGUCUUUUUAAGAGGUACCAAUUUUAGCGAUAAGACCAUAGCCUGUGGGUUCCCAUCCCAGCUCUAUCUUUUCCUACUCAUGUGACCUUGGGCACGUUCUUCCAACUCCGUGUGUCUAAGUUUCCUUGUGCAUCAAGUGGGGCUGGGGAUGGUCGCAUCUUCCUCCUAGGGGCCACAGGAAGAUUAAAGUAGUUAAUAUUGAUAAAGUACUUAUAAGAGUGCAUGGUAUUUAUCAAGUAUUAUGUAAGUGUUUCUUAGGCUAAAAAAUGUAACAUUUAAUUGCUGAGGAUGAGUAGAGGUAGGUAUCAAAACUGAGCACUUUGCCCAGCUGGGGGUCUGGGUUGUGUUCUUGUUGGCUCUCCCUAGCACUUCCGUUCUGUAAUCUACCCUGUUUUAUUGAAAGAUCUCUGUUUCUGACUAACUGCAGGCUCUCUGAGUGCAGAGUUCUGUUUAUCCUAUUUAUUACUUCACCCUCACUGCCUGCAACUACAUAAUUAGUUUCAGUCUUACUGUUUCAGUGUCCUAUCUACAAGGCAGAUUCACUUUGGGAAAAGGAAAUGAAAGACGGAUGGAAAGUCUGACCCCUGAGUUUUGUUUUAAAUUUGGGACCUCUUCUAAUAGAAAAGCCGGGGUGCAUCUUCUAGGCAGAACCGCCGUCCCCGUCAUGAGCGAUACAGCCAUCCAGUAAGAAAAACAGAAGACACGAGACCCUCCAGACAGGUCCUGUGUCCAUGUCCAGAGGAUAGCUCCUGCUGGGGACCAUCAUCCCCAUCAGCCUUUCCUUCUGUUACCUGUAGUGAUUUCAAAGGAGGAUGGAUCAAGGCUGUUCAAAAACCUUCCACAACUUGUCCAGGGACCACUGAGGUGGAACUGAAGACUUUGGAAAAGGUCCAGUUUAUUUUGAGGAAACUUGAGUCUAAGAGAUCUGGAGCUGCCUAGAGCUGCCUAAUUUCCCUGGGGAAAGUUCUGGCAUGUGUUAGACCACUGGUAAGACCAAAUGCCUAGGGCGGUUUGGCAUGGCCAAGAAGAAAUGUGCUCAACGGGAGAGAAACGCGUUGCCAGAACUAUCCACACUGGGAAAGUUAUACUAGAAAUUUACAGUAAAUGACUUUGUAUAUAACUGCUCAUAUUGUAAAUACAGAAAGGGAAGCUUCACAAAGGGAAGUGUGAAACGUAAUUGUCAUUAACAGUAAUAAGGAAUAAUAACUUUAAAAGACCAAGUGCAGAACCUCACAGAUUACAUGCAGAAUUUUGCACUUAGAGAUACUUGAGGGAUAUGUGUUUGUGUGUGUAUGUGUGCAUGUGUGUGUCUGUAUUAGCCAUGCAUAUAUGUGUGUGUGUGUGUGUGUGUAUUUGCAUUUCCAUGUACAGAAAAGUAUGUUUUAUAGGAAAAGUGUCACCUCAAACAAAGGCUAAUCAUUGAUUUCAGUGAUGGAUGGACUCCUUUCAGGCUCCUCUUACCCAUUUGUCCCAGACUAGAGAAACUCGUGGCACUCACCAUGCUUUGAUUCCAGAACAUUCCAUAAGUACUGCAGAAAGAGCAUAGACUUUGCAGUCAGGCUGACUUGAACUCACAUUCUAGCUAUUCCAUUUACCAGAUGUGUGAUCUGAGACCAGUUAACAUCUAUCAAUUGCAGGUUUUUAGCUACAGUAACUAGGGUAUAAUUAAAAGAUCAAGCUCUCAGGGUAGCUGGAAGAACCAAAUGAGAAAAGAUCUCUUAAAUCACAUACCUCAAGGCUUAUCAUUUAGCAGGAUCUACUAAAUAUUUACUGGAUCCUUUCACUGGUGGUGGGGCAGACAUCUAGAACAAUGGCAGUAGCCUGUGUGCUCUUGGUAAGAGUGAGAAUCUAGACUGGUCCUCUUUCAUUAUGCUUUAGGAUACAUUUCACUAGACUCUUCAUAACACAGACAACAGAGUACCUCAAGAUGAAUAGACUGCCUUUAGAGCUGCUACCAUAGUUACUUUAUGUUUUAUCUUACAAAGACCUUUCAUAUAGAAGAAAGCCAAUAAGUAUUUGUGGAAUGAAUUAAUUAAAAACUAACAAGCCUGAAUCCUCAAUUAACAAUGUGCUGUUAUUGUAUUUUCCUACACUCCACUGAGG